This 477-nucleotide ribosomal RNA is filed under the name uncultured bacterium. Its description in RNAcentral is "partial 16S ribosomal RNA". It matches the Rfam family "Bacterial small subunit ribosomal RNA", at positions 355 to 843 of the family's 1533-position model. The record is from RNAcentral.
UGGGGAAUAUUGGACAAUGGGCGGAAGCCUGAUCCAGCAACGCCGCGUGAGGGAUGACGGCCUUCGGGUUGUAAACCUCUUUCAGUACCGACGAAGCGAAAGUGACGGUAGGUACAGAAGAAGGACCGGCCAACUACGUGCCAGCAGCCGCGGUAAUACGUAGGGUCCGAGCGUUGUCCGGAAUUAUUGGGCGUAAAGGGCUCGUAGGCGGUUUGUCGCGUCGGGAGUGAAAACAGCGGGCUUAACUCGUUGCUUGCUUUCGAUACGGGCAGACUAGAGGUAUGCAGGGGAGAAUGGAAUUCCUGGUGUAGCGGUGAAAUGCGCAGAUAUCAGGAGGAACACCGGUGGCGAAGGCGGUUCUCUGGGCAUUACCUGACGCUGAGGAGCGAAAGUGUGGGGAGCGAACAGGAUUAGAUACCCUGGUAGUCCACAACCGUAAACGUUGGGCGCUAGGUGUGGGUCCUUUCCACGGAUUCC